Molecule: ribosomal RNA, 234 nt
Filed under: uncultured bacterium
Lineage: Bacteria
Description: partial 16S ribosomal RNA
Rfam family: Bacterial small subunit ribosomal RNA
Source: RNAcentral
UGGGUAACCUGCCGCGCAGAGGGGGAUAACGACUGGAAACGGUCGCUAAUACCGCAUGGUACCAAGAGGAAUGGUCUCCUUUUGGUUAAAACUUUGGUGCUGCGCGAGGGGCCUGCGCCCGAUUAGCUAGUUGGUGAGGUAAUGGCUCACCAAGGCGAUGAUCGGUAGCUAGUCUGAGAGGGAUGAUUAUCCACACGGGAACUGAGAUACGGUCCCGACUCCUACGGGGGGCAG